GAUUAAUUAGUUUAAUAAAAAUAUUAGUUUGUGGAACUAAAGAAAAAAUUAGUCU
RNAcentral lists this transfer RNA (55 nucleotides) under Dermatophagoides pteronyssinus (European house dust mite). RNAcentral's name for it is "tRNA-His". Lineage: Eukaryota; Metazoa; Arthropoda; Arachnida; Sarcoptiformes; Pyroglyphidae. The record is from RNAcentral.